ACCCGUCUAGCUCAGUUGGUAGAGUAUAAGGCUUUUAACCUUGUGGUUGUGGGUUUGAGCCCCAUGGUAGGCA
This 73-nucleotide transfer RNA is filed under the name Zea mays. It matches the Rfam family "tRNA". From Rfam's summary of the family: Transfer RNA (tRNA) molecules are approximately 80 nucleotides in length. Their secondary structure includes four short double-helical elements and three loops (D, anti-codon, and T loops). Lineage: Eukaryota; Viridiplantae; Streptophyta; Magnoliopsida; Poales; Poaceae. The record is from Rfam by way of RNAcentral.